UCCGUUGUAGUCUAGCUGGUCAGGAUAUUCAGCUUUCAUCCGAGAGACCCGGGUGCGAGUUCCGGCAACGGAG
Non-coding RNA from Brassica napus (rape), 73 nucleotides. The record is from Rfam. NCBI's taxonomy places the organism in Eukaryota, Viridiplantae, Streptophyta, Magnoliopsida, Brassicales, Brassicaceae.